UAGAGCACAAAUAAACUUCUAGUCUCACAGCAUUUAGGAUCCUUCGGAAAGGUAAAGGUGGAGGUGUUAAGAGGACCAGAGAGCUGCCUCACACCAGUUUUUAAGCUUUAAUAUUGUUAAAUAUGUUACACCCUCCUGUUUCCAGUCUGAUGAAAUCUGAAACAAAUAAUACCCUGAUCCAACACUAUAUUAAGAUAAACUGCUUUGAACUGUGCUUUGAAUGUGUGCCUAAAGCAAGGCUUUGAAUGCAAGAGUCACUGGCAAUUGCACUCAAAGGAGGGACAAGCCACCACAUGGGUUGCCACAUCACACUCCCAGAGAAAGCUUCACAUGUGAGAUAAAUGCACUCAAAGAUUCCUCACAAGUAGCUCUUUGGAGCUUCGGAUGUGAAAUGGAUCAUUCCUCAAUCUGUAAUAGACCCUUCUGUGAAGCUCUUCAAUCAAACCAGAGAAUUCAAGAGUUUCCACUAGCUAAGAGUGGUAUUUGGCUGAUGGUAGGCCAAACGAAUAAAGAAGACAUGAAAAAAUCUUGAUAGAAGACAUUCAAAAAUUGAUUUGAUAUCAGAUACAAGAAGAAAAUAUGCCAAUAAGAAAAUGCAUUUUUUAGGAUUAAAUUCGGCAUUUGUUACUUAAUAGCAUUUGUCAUCUUCCAGUUUUUCAAAUGUAGUAAAUUAAUUUCAAAUCA
Long non-coding RNA from Piliocolobus tephrosceles (Ugandan red Colobus), 684 nucleotides. RefSeq lists it as uncharacterized. The record is from RefSeq and is a predicted model, not a curated record. The transcript is spliced from 3 exons. NCBI's taxonomy places the organism in Eukaryota, Metazoa, Chordata, Mammalia, Primates, Cercopithecidae.